GGGGAAUAUUGCGCAAUGGGCGAAAGCCUGACGCAGCGACGCCGCGUGGAGGAUGAAGGUCUUCGGAUUGUAAACUUCUGUUAAGUGGGAAGAAAAAUUUGCGUUUAAUACACACAAGGAAUGACGGUACCAUUAGAGAAAGCACCGGCUAACUUCGUGCCAGCAGCCGCGGUAAUACGAAGGGUGCAAGCGUUAUUCGGAUUUAUUGGGCGUGAAGGGUGCGUAGACGGUAUAUUAAGUCUAUUGUUAAAUCUUCUGGCCUAACCAGAAAUCUGCAGUAGAUACUGAUGUGCUAGAGGGUGGAAGAGAGAAGUGGAAUUCUCGGAGUAGCGGUAAAAUGCGUAGAUCUCGAGAGGAACACCAAUGGCGAAGGCAGCUUCUUGGUCCACACCUGACGUUGAGGCACGAAAGCGUGGGGAGCAAAC
RNAcentral lists this ribosomal RNA (425 nucleotides) under uncultured bacterium. Its description in RNAcentral is "bacterial SSU rRNA". It matches the Rfam family "Bacterial small subunit ribosomal RNA", at positions 356 to 773 of the family's 1533-position model. The record is from RNAcentral.